AGUGUGGGUAGAGUCCAGUGUGUGGGUAGAGUCCAGUGUGUGGGUAGAGUCCAGUGUGUGAGUAGGAGUCCAGUGUGUGGGUAGAGUCCAGUGUGUGGGUAGAGUCCAGUGUGUGGUAGAGUCCAGUGUGUGGGAAGAGUCCAGUGUGUGGGUAGAGUCCUGUGUGUGGGUAGAGUCCAGUGUGUGGGUAGAGUCCAGUGUGUGGGUAGAGUCCAGUGUGUGGGUAGAGUCCAGUGUGUGGGUAGAGUCCAGUGUGUGGGUAGAGUCCAGUGUGUGGGUAGAGUCCAGUGUGUGGGUAGAGUCCAGUGUGUGGAUAGAGUCCAGUGUGUGGGUAGAGUCCAGUGUGUGGGUAGAGUCCAGUGUGUGGGUAGAGUCCAGUGUGUGGGUAGAGUCCAGUGUGUGGGUAGAGUCCAGUGUGUGGGUAGAGUCCAGUGUGUGGGUAGAGUCCAGUGUGUGGGUAGAGUCCAGUGUGUGGGUAGAGUCGAGUGUGUGAAUAGAGUCCAGUGUGUGGGUAGAGUCCAGUGUGUGGGUAGAGUCCAGUGUGUGGGUAGAGUCCAGUGUGUUGGUAGAGUCCAGUGUGUGGGUAGAGUCCAGUGUGUGGGUAGAGUCCAGUGUGUGAGUAGAGU
Molecule: long non-coding RNA, 626 nt
Filed under: Salmo salar (Atlantic salmon)
Lineage: Eukaryota; Metazoa; Chordata; Actinopteri; Salmoniformes; Salmonidae
Description: lncRNA (ENSSSAG00000090749.1)
Source: RNAcentral